This 301-nucleotide ribosomal RNA is filed under the name uncultured bacterium. RNAcentral describes it as "partial 16S ribosomal RNA". It matches the Rfam family "Bacterial small subunit ribosomal RNA", at positions 509 to 807 of the family's 1533-position model. The record is from RNAcentral.
CAGUCGCCACGGUAAUACGUAGGGUGCGAGCGUUGUCCGGAAUUACUGGGCGUAAAGAGCUCGUAGGCGGUUUGUCGCGUCGUCUGUGAAAUUCUGCAGCUUAACUGUAGGCGUGCAGGCGAUACGGGCAGACUUGAGUACUACAGGGGAGACUGGAAUUCCUGGUGUAGCGGUGAAAUGCGCAGAUAUCAGGAGGAACACCGGUGGCGAAGGCGGGUCUCUGGGUAGUAACUGACGCUGAGGAGCGAAAGCGUGGGUAGCGAACAGGAUUAGAUACCCCAGUAGUCCCUGUCUCUUAUAC